GUGGGGAAUCUUCCGCAAUGGACGAAAGUCUGACGGAGCGACGCCGCGUGAGUGAAGAAGGCCUUCGGGUCGUAAAGCUCUGUCAUCAGGGACGAACGGCCGGUGGAGUGGAAAGCCACCGGAUUGACGGUACCUGAGAAGGAAGCCACGGCUAACUACGUGCCAGCAGCCGCGGUAAUACGUAGGUGGCAAGCGUUGUCCGGAAUUAUUGGGCGUAAAGCGCGCGCAGGUGGGAUCUUAAGUCCAUUUUUAAAGUUCGGAGCUCAACUCCGUGAUGGGAUGGAAACUGGGAUUCUUGAGUACCGGAGAGGAAAGCGGAAUUCCCCGUGUAGCGGUGAAAUGCGUAGAUAUGGGGAGGAACACCAGUGGCGAAGGCGGCUUUCUGGACGGUGUCUGACACUCAGGCGCGAAAGCCAGGGGAGCGAACGGGAUUAGAAACCCGGGUAGUCC
This 450-nucleotide ribosomal RNA is filed under the name uncultured bacterium. RNAcentral describes it as "partial 16S ribosomal RNA". It matches the Rfam family "Bacterial small subunit ribosomal RNA", at positions 354 to 796 of the family's 1533-position model. The record is from RNAcentral.